AUUGAACGCUGGCGGCAUGCUUUACACAUGCAAGUCGAACGGCAGCGCGGGCUUCGGCCUGGCAGCGAGUGGCGAACGGGUGAGUAAUACAUCGGAACGUGCCCAGUAGUGGGGGAUAGCUCGGCGAAAGCCGGAUUAAUACCGCAUACGACCUGAGGGUGAAAGCGGGGGAUCUUCGGACCUCGCGCUAUUGGAGCGGCCGAUGGCAGAUUAGCUAGUUGGUGGGGUAAAGGCCUACCAAGGCGACGAUCUGUAGCUGGUCUGAGAGGACGACCAGCCACACUGGGACUGAGACACGGCCCAGACUCCUACGGGAGGCAGCAGUGGGGAAUUUUGGACAAUGGGCGAAAGCCUGAUCCAGCAAUGCCGCGUGUGUGAUGAAGGCCUUCGGGUUGUAAAGCACUUUUGGCGGGAACGAAAAGGACUGUGCCAAUACCACGGUUCGAUGACGGUACCCGCAGAAUAAGCACCGGCUAACUACGUG
Molecule: ribosomal RNA, 484 nt
Filed under: uncultured bacterium
Lineage: Bacteria
Description: partial 16S ribosomal RNA
Rfam family: Bacterial small subunit ribosomal RNA
Source: RNAcentral